This 75-nucleotide transfer RNA is filed under the name Desulfococcus multivorans. RNAcentral's name for it is "tRNA-Val". It matches the Rfam family "tRNA". From Rfam's summary of the family: Transfer RNA (tRNA) molecules are approximately 80 nucleotides in length. Their secondary structure includes four short double-helical elements and three loops (D, anti-codon, and T loops). Further hydrogen bonds mediate the characteristic L-shaped molecular structure. tRNAs have two regions of fundamental functional importance: the anti-codon, which is responsible for specific mRNA codon recognition, and the 3' end, to which the tRNAs corresponding amino acid is attached (by aminoacyl-tRNA synthetases). tRNAs cope with the degeneracy of the genetic code in two manners: having more than one tRNA (with a specific anti-codon) for a particular amino acid; and 'wobble' base-pairing, i.e. permitting non-standard base-pairing at the 3rd anti-codon position. The record is from RNAcentral. Lineage: Bacteria; Pseudomonadati; Thermodesulfobacteriota; Desulfobacteria; Desulfobacterales; Desulfococcaceae. RNAcentral also lists the same sequence under 3 other names.
AGGCACGUAGCUCAGGGGGAGAGCACUACCUUGACACGGUAGGGGUCGUUGGUUCAAAUCCAAUCGUGCCUACCA